CAUUGUUCGAGUUGUACAACAGAUGGCGAUCUCCCUUUUGGCCUUGGGUUGGAGGGGCCAAAAAACAAAAAUUCUUGCACCAGAGCCCUCUCUACUCUAAUGCGUGGUAAUCCCAGAGUUCACAGGAGUCAUUACACAAGGCCUGCAACUGGCAGAGAGUGAGACCGCAGUCUCUCUGGACUCCUGCUUCACCUCAACAGAAGGUGUAAAGGGCCACUGAGGGAGAUCUUUAAUCUCACUGCCCUAUGAAGACACUAUUCUCAGUACUGCUGACUGGACGCAGCUCAGGAGAUACACUGGAACUGGGACAACUUCUCUACCAGUCCCCACCGCCGCAAAGUAAGUAAUCACCGAAGAACCGGCCUGGCAAAUAAUUUUGGAGUGCUGAAACAUGAUAUCUCUGAGAAUGACUGACUGUAGACUUGCCCCAGGAGUAGGGAUUUGG
Non-coding RNA from Pelobates cultripes (western spadefoot toad), 445 nucleotides. The record is from the annotation of a GenBank genome assembly. NCBI's taxonomy places the organism in Eukaryota, Metazoa, Chordata, Amphibia, Anura, Pelobatidae.